AUACGUAGGUGACAAGCGUUAUCCGGAUUUACUGGGCGUAAAGGGCGUGUAGGCGGUCUUGCAAGUCAGAAGUGAAAUUCCUGAGCUCAACUCGGGCGCUGCUUCUGAAACUGCAGGACUUGAGUGCUGGAGGGGAUAGCGGAAUUCCUAGUGGAGCGGUAAAAUGCGCAGAUAUUAGGAAGAACACCGGUGGCGAAGGCGGCUAAUUGAGCAGUAACUGACGCUGAGGCGCGAAAGCGUGGAGAUCAAACAGGAUUCGAUACCCUGUUAGUCCACGCCGUAAACGAUGAAUACUAGGUGUAGGGGGUAUCGACUCCCUCUGUGCCGCAGUUAACACAAUAAGUAUUCCGCCUGGGGAGUACGGCCGCAAGGUUGAAACUCAAAUGAAUUGACGGGG
RNAcentral lists this ribosomal RNA (397 nucleotides) under uncultured bacterium. RNAcentral describes it as "partial 16S ribosomal RNA". It matches the Rfam family "Bacterial small subunit ribosomal RNA", at positions 523 to 918 of the family's 1533-position model. The record is from RNAcentral.